This 253-nucleotide ribosomal RNA is filed under the name uncultured bacterium. RNAcentral describes it as "partial 16S ribosomal RNA". It matches the Rfam family "Bacterial small subunit ribosomal RNA", at positions 524 to 776 of the family's 1533-position model. The record is from RNAcentral.
CACGGGGGGAGCAAGCGUUGUUCGGAAUCACUGGGCGUAAAGGGCGUGUAGGCGGUCAGGCAAGUGAGACGUGAAAUGCCCCGGCUUACCCGGGGACCUGCGUCUCAUACUGCUUGGCUUGAGUACGGGAGAGGGUGUGGGAAUUCCUGGUGUAGCGGUGAAAUGCGUAGAUAUCAAGAGGAACACCUGCGGCGAAGGCGGGUUGCUGGGCCGACACUGACGCUGAGGCGCGAAAGCCAGGGGAGCGGACGGG